Danionella cerebrum is the source of this 90-nucleotide non-coding RNA. The record is from the annotation of a GenBank genome assembly. NCBI's taxonomy places the organism in Eukaryota, Metazoa, Chordata, Actinopteri, Cypriniformes, Danionidae.
GGCUCUGUGGCGCAAUAGACAGCACAUUAGACUUCUAGGUGAGUGAGGAAGACCUUUUAAAGUUUGUGGGUUCAAGUCCCACCAGAGUCA